CUCUCUUCCACUCAUAGACAAGGCAAAACUCUCCGUUGAUUUCCCAAAAAGUUAAUCUUUUUUCCACAUUUUCUUUUUUGUUCUCCGAAAACUCAUUAGGUUUUCCCCAAAAAAUUAAUUUUGUGGUUCAAUUUCAUAUACUUUUUUAGCAAAGCAGAAUUGGGUUUAGUGGGGAAUAGAAAUUGGGAAGAAAUUGGUCUAGCCAAUUCAUCCUUCUGUCAAUAUUAGCAUUUUGGCAUCAAAGAGGCAUAACUCUUCAUACAAUAUCUACAUCUUCUAUUUGCUGAAGAAGGGUAGGAAAUUUUACAUCAGACUACAGGGAAUAUAUUCUCACGGGGAUUAUGAGUUUAACAAAAUUUGGCUUACUUUAGAUUUAUGUUGCAGUUCCAUAACAUAUUCACCAAGUGAAGACAUUAACAUGCAGGAUGCAGCAAGGUUCCGUGAUGAGUUAAAGAAUAUUGCCCCUCAUUCUCUCUUGAAAUGUUCGAGUGAUGCGACAACGCUGGUCAGUCCAAAGGCUCCUCCUAUCCGGGACUCUGUGAAGGCCAUAUCCCGCAGUCAAGCUAAAUAUUAUAUUAAGACUUCUGAUAUCAACAUUUCCACGUAUGGUCUGCUCAGCCAUAUGGCUAGGAACAAACUCAAGCUUAUUUGAAAUCUCUGGGUUUUUUUAUGCAGUACGAAUAAAUGGGAUGACCCAAAGAGGGUGAGGACGACAACAAAAGUUCUCACAAGUAUUGUUUUGUUGAGGAUAAUUGUGUUAAUCGAGUUACACAUCGUUAACACUACUAUGUUUUUCUCUUUACUUAAAUGUAGAGGCUUAAGGAGUAGAUGUCUUCAAUACGUUCAGGCUUAAGGAGUAGAUGUCUUCAAUACGUUCUUUAUUAGUUUGUUUAUUAAUUAUAUCAUCACCA
Capsicum annuum is the source of this 911-nucleotide long non-coding RNA. RefSeq lists it as uncharacterized. Lineage: Eukaryota; Viridiplantae; Streptophyta; Magnoliopsida; Solanales; Solanaceae. The record is from RefSeq and is a predicted model, not a curated record. The transcript has 5 exons.